Molecule: non-coding RNA, 100 nt
Organism: Acanthosepion pharaonis
Lineage: Eukaryota; Metazoa; Mollusca; Cephalopoda; Sepiida; Sepiidae
Source: the annotation of a GenBank genome assembly
CGUUGAAACACCAGUUUCCGUACGAUUACCAACUUUAAGCAACGUCGAGCCUUGUCAGUACCUAGAUGGGUAACCGCUUGGGAACAGCAAGUGCUGUAAG